RNAcentral lists this transfer RNA (75 nucleotides) under Colponema vietnamica. RNAcentral describes it as "tRNA-Asp". It matches the Rfam family "tRNA". Rfam says of the family: Transfer RNA (tRNA) molecules are approximately 80 nucleotides in length. Their secondary structure includes four short double-helical elements and three loops (D, anti-codon, and T loops). Lineage: Eukaryota; Colponemida; Colponemidia. The record is from RNAcentral.
GGGAGAGUAACUCAGUUUGGUUAGAGUGUCAGCUUGUCACGCUGAAAGCCGCGGGUUCGAGUCCCGUCUCUCUCG